Molecule: ribosomal RNA, 773 nt
Filed under: uncultured Neocallimastigales
Lineage: Eukaryota; Fungi; Neocallimastigomycota; Neocallimastigomycetes; Neocallimastigales
Description: partial large subunit ribosomal RNA
Rfam family: Eukaryotic large subunit ribosomal RNA
Source: RNAcentral
AUGUGAUCGUCUCUCGCAUAUCAAUAAGCGGAGGAAAAGAAACUAACAAGGAUUCCCCUAGUAACGGCGAGUGAAGCGGGAAGAGCUCAAAUUUGAAAUCUUAAAGGGUUUCCCUUUACGAAUUGUAGUUUAAAGAAGUGUUUUCUGUUGAGGUUUUGGUAAAAGUUCUUUGGAAUAGGACAUCAUAGAGGGUGAGAAUCCCGUAUUUGACCUUUACUUUCAACUUUGUGAUACACUUUCAAAGAGUCGGAUUGUUUGGGAAUGCAGUCCAAAAUGGGUGGUAAAUUUCAUCUAAAGCUAAAUAUUGGCGAGAGACCGAUAGCGAACAAGUACCGUGAGGGAAAGAUGAAAAGAACUUUGAAAAGAGAGUUAAACAGUACGUGAAAUUGUCAAAAGGGAAGCGUUUGACACCAGUGUUGUUUUUCUGAAAAUCAAUUAAAGAACUGUUUAUGCUAAGUUGUUUAGACUUUAUCAGCUAACUGUUUAGUUUUGAGCUUUUCUUUAAUGCACUUUUCAGUUAACAAGUCAACAUCAAUUUCUUUUGCUGUAAAAAAGCUUGAGGAAGGUGGCUUGAGAUUCGUCUUAAGUGUUUAUAGCCUCUUGCCUAUGCAGUCGGAGAGAUUGAGGUCUGCAGCGUAGAUCCUUCGGGGCUAAAUGCAUUUGUGCUAAGUUAUAGCAUUUUAUAGACAACUUGUUGACUAUGAUUUGUCUUGUAGCUUACUCGCUUAUGUUAUUUUACCUACGCUUAGGAUGUUGAGUAGCGACAUACGCAC